GGUUCAUUAGUACCGGUUAGCUCAACGCCACCUCCCUUACAAGGAGGGGGUCGGCGGUUCGAUCCCGUCAUCACCCACCA
RNAcentral lists this transfer RNA (80 nucleotides) under Escherichia coli. RNAcentral describes it as "tRNA-Val". RNAcentral also lists the same sequence under 1 other name. Lineage: Bacteria; Pseudomonadati; Pseudomonadota; Gammaproteobacteria; Enterobacterales; Enterobacteriaceae. The record is from RNAcentral.